This 253-nucleotide ribosomal RNA is filed under the name uncultured bacterium. RNAcentral's name for it is "partial 16S ribosomal RNA". It matches the Rfam family "Bacterial small subunit ribosomal RNA", at positions 524 to 776 of the family's 1533-position model. The record is from RNAcentral.
UACGUAGGGCGCAAGCGUUGUCCGGAAUUAUUGGGCGUAAAGAGCUCGUAGGCGGUCUGUUGCGUCCGCUGUGAAAACUCGGGGCUUAACCCCGAGCCUGCAGUGGAUACGGGCAGACUAGAGGUAGGUAGGGGAGAAUGGAAUUCCCGGUGUAGCGGUGAAAUGCGCAGAUAUCGGGAGGAACACCGGUGGCGAAGGCGGUUCUCUGGGCCUGUUCUGACGCUGAGGAGCGAAAGCGUGGGGAGCGAACAGG